GACGGAGGGUGCAAACGUUGUUCGGAAUUACUGGGCAUAAAGCGCACGUAGGCGGCCAAGUCAGUCUGUUGUGAAAGCCCUCGGCUCAACCGGGGAACUGCAAUGGAUACUGCUUGGCUAGAGGACGGUUGGGGUGAGUGGAACUCUUGGUGGAGCGGUGAAAUGCGUAGAUAUCAAGAGGAACACCAGUGGCGAAAGCGGCUCACUGGACCGUAUCUGACGCUGAGGUGCGAAAGCUAGGGUAGCGAAC
RNAcentral lists this ribosomal RNA (250 nucleotides) under uncultured bacterium. RNAcentral's name for it is "partial 16S ribosomal RNA". It matches the Rfam family "Bacterial small subunit ribosomal RNA", at positions 524 to 773 of the family's 1533-position model. The record is from RNAcentral.